GACGUAGGGCGCAAGCGUUGUCCGGAUUUAUUGGGCGUAAAGAGCUCGCAGGCGGCUGGUCGCGUCGACUGUGAAAACCCGUGGCUCAACCAUGUGGUCUGCAGUCGAUACGGGCAGGCUAGAAUGCGGUAGGGGAGACUGGAAUUCCUGGUGUAGCGGUGAAAUGCGCAGAUAUCAGGAGGAACACCGGUGGCGAAGGCGGGUCUCUGGGCCGAUAUUGACGCUGAGGAGCGAAAGCGUGGGGAGCGAACAGG
RNAcentral lists this ribosomal RNA (254 nucleotides) under uncultured bacterium. RNAcentral describes it as "partial 16S ribosomal RNA". It matches the Rfam family "Bacterial small subunit ribosomal RNA", at positions 524 to 776 of the family's 1533-position model. The record is from RNAcentral.